This 253-nucleotide ribosomal RNA is filed under the name uncultured bacterium. RNAcentral's name for it is "partial 16S ribosomal RNA". It matches the Rfam family "Bacterial small subunit ribosomal RNA", at positions 524 to 776 of the family's 1533-position model. The record is from RNAcentral.
UACGUAGGGUGCAAGCGUUGUCCGGAAUUAUUGGGCGUAAAGAGCUCGUAGGCGGUUUGUCGCGUCUGCUGUGAAAACUCGGGGCUUAACUCCGGGCCUGCAGUGGGUACGGGCAGACUAGAGUGCGGUAGGGGAGACUGGAAUUCCUGGUGUAGCGGUGGAAUGCGCAGAUAUCAGGAGGAACACCGGUGGCGAAGGCGGGUCUCUGGGCCGUAACUGACGCUGAGGAGCGAAAGCGUGGGGAGCGAACAGG